AUUGAACGCUGGCGGCAUGCCUUACACAUGCAAGUCGAACGGUAGCACGGGAGCAAUCCUGGUGGCGAGUGGCGAACGGGUGAGUAAUAUAUCGGAACGUGCCCAGUCGUGGGGAUAACGUAGCGAAAGCUACGCUAAUACCGCAUACGAUCUAUGGAUGAAAGCGGGGGAUCGCAAGACCUCGCGCGAUUGGAGCGGCCGAUAUCAGAUUAGGUAGUUGGUGAGGUAAAGGCUCACCAAGCCGACGAUCUGUAGCUGGUCUGAGAGGACGACCAGCCACACUGGGACUGAGACACGGCCCAGACUCCUACGGGAGGCAGCAGUGGGGAAUUUUGGACAAUGGGCGCAAGCCUGAUCCAGCAAUGCCGCGUGCAGGAUGAAGGCC
RNAcentral lists this ribosomal RNA (385 nucleotides) under uncultured bacterium. RNAcentral's name for it is "bacterial SSU rRNA". It matches the Rfam family "Bacterial small subunit ribosomal RNA", at positions 30 to 416 of the family's 1533-position model. The record is from RNAcentral.